CCUACGGGAGGCAGCAGUGAGGAAUAUUGGUCAAUGGGCGAGAGCCUGAACCAGCCAAGUAGCGUGAAGGAUGAAGGCUCUAUGGGUCGUAAACUUCUUUUAUAUGGGAAUAAAGUAUUCCACGUGUGGAAUUUUGUAUGUACCAUAUGAAUAAGGAUCGGCUAACUCCGUGCCAGCAGCCGCGGUAAU
RNAcentral lists this ribosomal RNA (189 nucleotides) under uncultured Bacteroides sp. Its description in RNAcentral is "partial 16S ribosomal RNA". It matches the Rfam family "Bacterial small subunit ribosomal RNA", at positions 338 to 524 of the family's 1533-position model. Lineage: Bacteria; Pseudomonadati; Bacteroidota; Bacteroidia; Bacteroidales; Bacteroidaceae. The record is from RNAcentral.